RNAcentral lists this ribosomal RNA (1477 nucleotides) under metagenome. Its description in RNAcentral is "bacterial SSU rRNA". It matches the Rfam family "Bacterial small subunit ribosomal RNA". The record is from RNAcentral.
AGAGUUUGAUCCUGGCUCAGGAUGAACGCUGGCGGCGUGCUUAACACAUGCAAGUCGAACGAAGCACCUUGAUUUGAUUCUUCGGAUGAAGAUCUUGGUGACUGAGUGGCGGACGGGUGAGUAACGCGUGGGUAACCUGCCUCAUACAGGGGGAUAACAGUUAGAAAUGACUGCUAAUACCGCAUAAGACCACAGCACCGCAUGGUGCAGGGGUAAAAACUCCGGUGGUAUGAGAUGGACCCGCGUCUGAUUAGGUAGUUGGUGGGGUAACGGCCUACCAAGCCGACGAUCAGUAGCCGACCUGAGAGGGUGACCGGCCACAUUGGGACUGAGACACGGCCCAAACUCCUACGGGAGGCAGCAGUGGGGAAUAUUGCACAAUGGGGGAAACCCUGAUGCAGCGACGCCGCGUGAGCGAUGAAGUAUUUCGGUAUGUAAAGCUCUAUCAGCAGGGAAGAAAAUGACGGUACCUGACUAAGAAGCACCGGCUAAAUACGUGCCAGCAGCCGCGGUAAUACGUAUGGUGCAAGCGUUAUCCGGAUUUACUGGGUGUAAAGGGAGCGUAGACGGAGUGGCAAGUCUGAUGUGAAAACCCGGGGCUCAACCCCGGGACUGCAUUGGAAACUGUCAAUCUAGAGUACCGGAGAGGUAAGCGGAAUUCCUAGUGUAGCGGUGAAAUGCGUAGAUAUUAGGAGGAACACCAGUGGCGAAGGCGGCUUACUGGACGGUAACUGACGUUGAGGCUCGAAAGCGUGGGGAGCAAACAGGAUUAGAUACCCUGGUAGUCCACACGGUAAACGAUGAAUACUCGCUGUAGGCGAUAUACAGUCUGCGGCCAAGCGAAAGCAUUAAGUAUUCCACCUGGGGAGUACGCCGGCAACGGUGAAACUCAAAGGAAUUGACGGGGGCCCGCACAAGCGGAGGAACAUGUGGUUUAAUUCGAUGAUACGCGAGGAACCUUACCCGGGCUUAAAUUGCAACCGAAUAUGGCGGAAACGCCAUAGCUAGCAAUAGCGGUUGUGAAGGUGCUGCAUGGUUGUCGUCAGCUCGUGCCGUGAGGUGUCGGCUUAAGUGCCAUAACGAGCGCAACCCUUGCCGAUAGUUACUAACAGGUCAUGCUGAGGACUCUGUCGGGACUGCCAUCGUAAGAUGUGAGGAAGGUGGGGAUGACGUCAAAUCAGCACGGCCCUUACGUCCGGGGCUACACACGUGUUACAAUGGGGGGUACAGAGGGCUGCUACCACGCAAGUGGAUGCCAAUCCCAAAAACCUCUCUCAGUUCGGAUUGAAGUCUGCAACCCGACUUCAUGAAGCUGGAUUCGCUAGUAAUCGCGCAUCAGCCACGGCGCGGUGAAUACGUUCCCGGGCCUUGUACACACCGCCCGUCAAGCCAUGGGAGCCGGGGGUACCUGAAGUGCGUAACCGCAAGGAGCGCCCUAGGGUAAAACUGGUGACUGGGGCUAAGUCGUAACAAGGUA